CGGGGCUGGGUUGGGUGCUAGGGGAGUGAGGGGGAGGGCUGCACCCCCCCCCCCCCCCCCCCCCAGCCCACACAGGCCACCAGGGGUCAGCAGCCCAGGCCACUCCUUCCCUUCCCCUUGCCUGAUCCCUGGCAGACCCUAGCAGACUGAAUGUCUGGCUGGAUAGAACGGAGCAGGUGUGCUCCAGGGGACCCCCGAUGCAUGAGUGAAGGGUAAGAAAGUGAAGGGAGGGUCUCCUAGGGGAUCCCCACAUGCAGCCACUGCUUCUGAGUCAGCGAAAGUGACCUCCACUUCCUGCUUGGUUGCCCAGGUUGAGAUUGGUGCUUUAAUUAGCACCUCAGGGUGUGUGCUCCAACCUGGAAGAACAGGAAUCCUGGGUGCUUGGCAGCUCUGUGGGGCAGAGAACCCCACCUUGGGCUGAGACCCUGGGUGCACCAUCUAGCUCUGCCGGUCCUUAGCGGUGUGACCUUGAGCAGGUGUGUCACCUCUGAGCUUUAACGUGUCCCAGCGCCCAUUCACCAAGGACCCGCUGCUUCAGCCGGGCAGACUGGGCGAGGCGUCUUCAGAGGCAUUUAUCUCUUGGAAGCCUUCCAGCCGUCCAAGGGGUGGUGACGGCACCUUUCUUAACAGAUGGGGCCAGCUGGCCUUCCCAGAUGCAGGUCUGACCCCUCCUGCUUGCAAAGGGGCCUGAGCAUAGGUCCCGCCAGGUGGCCCCGGCAGCCCUGGGUGGGGGCUCAGCACUGGCUUCUGGUGCUCACUGUUGCUUUGUACUGUCCCCGGCAUCUGCCCUCCGUCAGUGGCAGGAGCAUCCACAGUCAGGGGCCAGGGGAGGUGAUUCCUGAAGGUCCGCCCUUGAGGUCCCCAGCUCUGUCCCCUGGCCAAGCAGUCUUGGAGUGCUAAGGGCUUCUGCCUUCCCACUGCCUCAGCGCCAGAGCUACAGGAUCCAGUGCAUUCUGGGGCCCCCCUUGUGGGAGGCCGUCUGGCAGCUGAUCCAUUCACCUCGCUCAGCUGUCACCUUUGUAUCCAGGCCCUGGAGGGGGGACGGCUCAGGGUCCUAUUGGGAGGCCCUCCUUCCAGAUCUCUGCUUUGACUCCAAUGGAGACUGCUCCCAGCUCUAUGCGUGGGGAGUCUUCCAUGACCCACCUUAGACAUUCCAAUUAGGGUCAGGCCCUUCCCGGCUUCCCCUGGCCCCGGGAGAACAGCCCAGCUUCGUUACGACACACCGUUGCUUGCUGACUUCUCUGUCUCCUUCCACAGAUGGGGGCCCCAGGGGCAGGAACCAGGCCUCAUCUAGUAGUCUCCUCCCAUACCACCCAGAUGGGCACAUCGCAAACCUCGGACAGCGUUCACCGACUGACUGUGAUGGCAACAGCUGAGACGAAAUCAAGCCUGAGGCCCUUCACGACUGCAGCCAUGACGCUGGCCCUGCCCGCUGGCCUUUGCCCUCCCAUGCGGGAGCCUGAUGAAGCCAGACGCCUGCGCCAGGAGG
Molecule: long non-coding RNA, 1489 nt
Organism: Myotis brandtii (Brandt's bat)
Lineage: Eukaryota; Metazoa; Chordata; Mammalia; Chiroptera; Vespertilionidae
Exons: 2
Source: RefSeq, a predicted model, not a curated record